AGAGUUUGAUCAUGGCUCAGGAUGAACGCUAGCUACAGGCUUAACACAUGCAAGUCGAGGGGAAACGACAUCGAAAGCUUGCUUUUGAUGGGCGUCGACCGGCGCACGGGUGAGUAACGCGUAUCCAACCUGCCCACCACUUGGGGAUAACCUUGCGAAAGUAAGACUAAUACCCAAUGACGUCUCUAGAAGACAUCUGAAAGAGAUUAAAGAUUUAUCGGUGAUGGAUGGGGAUGCGUCUGAUUAGCUUGUUGGCGGGGUAACGGCCACAAGGCGACGAUCAGUAGGGGUUCUGAGAGGAAGGUCCCCCANAUUGGAACUGAGACACGGUCCGAACUACCUACCGGGAGGCGA
Molecule: ribosomal RNA, 354 nt
Filed under: uncultured bacterium
Lineage: Bacteria
Description: bacterial SSU rRNA
Rfam family: Bacterial small subunit ribosomal RNA
Source: RNAcentral